AUAUAAUAAAUUCGGGUUCGGGUACAGUCAAAAUGCAUAUCCGAAUCCAUAUCCGUCAGGUUAAUUUUUAUUUUUGAUAUCCAUAUCCGAAUCCAUAUCCAUAUCCAUCGGAUAUAUCCAUUUCAUUCGGGUUCGGGUUCGAGUUCGAAUAAAAUUUCGGAUAUCCAUAUCUAUUGACAUCCCUAAUAACAAUUUAAGUAUAUCACUAUUAACAGAUAAAUUUAUUCAAUUUAAUUACUAU
RNAcentral lists this long non-coding RNA (241 nucleotides) under Ananas comosus (pineapple). Its description in RNAcentral is "long non-coding RNA (ACOM_LNC024044)". The record is from RNAcentral. Lineage: Eukaryota; Viridiplantae; Streptophyta; Magnoliopsida; Poales; Bromeliaceae.